RNAcentral lists this ribosomal RNA (497 nucleotides) under uncultured bacterium. RNAcentral's name for it is "bacterial SSU rRNA". It matches the Rfam family "Bacterial small subunit ribosomal RNA", at positions 899 to 1397 of the family's 1533-position model. The record is from RNAcentral.
ACUCAAAGGAAUAGACGGGGACCCGCACAAGCGGUGGAGCAUGUGGUUUAAUUCGAAGCAACGCGAAGAACCUUACCAGGUCUUGACAUGCCUUUGACAGGUGUAGAGAUACACUUUCUCUUCGGAGCAGAGGACACAGGUGGUGCAUGGUUGUCGUCAGCUCGUGUCGUGAGAUGUUGGGUUAAGUCCCGCAACGAGCGCAACCCUUAUCGUUAGUUGCCAUCAUUCAGUUGGGCACUCUAGCGAGACAGCCGUAGAUAAUACGGAGGAAGAUGGGGAUGACGUCAAAUCAUCAUGCCCCUUAUGACCUGGGCUACACACGUGCUACAAUGGAACAUACAACGAGGUGCGACUUGGUGACAAGAAGCUAAUCUCUUAAAAUGUUUCUCAGUUCGGAUUGGAGGCUGCAACUCGCCUCCAUGAAGUCGGAAUCGCUAGUAAUCGCGGAUCAGCACGCCGCGGUGAAUACGUUCCCGGGUCUUGUACACACCGCCCGU